This 77-nucleotide transfer RNA is filed under the name Candidatus Altimarinota bacterium. RNAcentral describes it as "tRNA-Val". It matches the Rfam family "tRNA". From Rfam's summary of the family: Transfer RNA (tRNA) molecules are approximately 80 nucleotides in length. Their secondary structure includes four short double-helical elements and three loops (D, anti-codon, and T loops). The record is from RNAcentral. Lineage: Bacteria; Candidatus Altimarinota.
GGACGAUUAGCUCAGUUGGUUAGAGCAUCUGUUUUACACGCAGAGGGUCAUAGGUUCGAAUCCUAUAUCGUCCACCA